This 72-nucleotide transfer RNA is filed under the name Camelus bactrianus (Bactrian camel). It matches the Rfam family "tRNA". Rfam says of the family: Transfer RNA (tRNA) molecules are approximately 80 nucleotides in length. The record is from Rfam by way of RNAcentral. RNAcentral also lists the same sequence under 2 other names. Lineage: Eukaryota; Metazoa; Chordata; Mammalia; Artiodactyla; Camelidae.
GAAGGUAUAGCUCAGUGGUAGAGUAUGUGCUUAGCGUGCAUGAGUUCCUGGAUUCAAUCCCCAACACCUCCA